Molecule: ribosomal RNA, 484 nt
Filed under: uncultured bacterium
Lineage: Bacteria
Description: bacterial SSU rRNA
Rfam family: Bacterial small subunit ribosomal RNA
Source: RNAcentral
CUACGUGCCAGCAGCCGCGGUAAUACGUAUGUCACAAGCGUUAUCCGGAUUUAUUGGGCGUAAAGCGCGUCUAGGUGGUUAUGUAAGUCUGAUGUGAAAAUGCAGGGCUCAACUCUGUAUUGCGUUGGAAACUGUAUAACUAGAGUACUGGAGAGGUAAGCGGAACUACAAGUGUAGAGGUGAAAUUCGUAGAUAUUUGUAGGAAUGCCGAUGGGGAAGCCAGCUUACUGGACAGAUACUGACGCUGAAGCGCGAAAGCGUGGGUAGCAAACAGGAUUAGAUACCCUGGUAGUCCACGCCGUAAACGAUGAUUACUAGGUGUUGGGGGUCGAACCUCAGCGCCCAAGCAAACGCGAUAAGUAAUCCGCCUGAGGAGUACGUACGCAAGUAUGAAACUCAAAGGAAUUGACGGGGACCCGCACAAGCGGUGGAGCAUGUGGUUUAAUUCGACGCAACGCGAGGAACCUUACCAGCGUUUGACAUC